Long non-coding RNA from Gasterosteus aculeatus aculeatus (three-spined stickleback), 8639 nucleotides. Lineage: Eukaryota; Metazoa; Chordata; Actinopteri; Perciformes; Gasterosteidae. The record is from Ensembl.
GGCCUACUUGUGAGGACCGGCACGCCCCUUUGGAGAAGGAGGCACCCACAUAAAAAUAAAUCAGUAUCAGCAGAAGUGCAUGCUUUAACUUCCCGUCACUAUUACUAAAAGUUAUACUUUAAGCUCUCUCCAAAGCCUCUCAAACCGUAUGGAUGAGUUUCACUUGUUGGGAGUAUUCUACAUAUGGAGUACACUUGGAAUCAUACGAUUGUAUUUAGUUGAGCCUUUCUUUUAGUUGGAUAAGAUAUGUUUCACUGCCGUUUCCGUCCUGCAUGGCUCUUCAAACCGGAGGUGUCCCACCGAAUACGUCAUGUGAUCAUACGAGUCCUCUACAAAUAAGCUGUAAGAAGAAGCAGCAGAUACCAUCGCCUCUCACACCUCUUUAUUCUUAUGAAUUCAAGGCACAGAAGCUAUUUCUCAUCAUCCGACUCUUUCAUUUUUUCUUUCCAGCCGUAGAGUUGUCUUGAGCCAAACUCAUAUGGACCCAUUGAAUCACACCUAUCUAAUAAAUCCACCUCACAAAGGAUUUGAAAAUCGCCGGACCGUAUCAAAGCAAAAUGACAUGCUUCGUAGUGUACCGGUCUGGAGAGAGUUCAGCUGCGAGCCGCGUUACAAAUAAAGACAUUCUGGACAGAAAACCGAAACAAAAAACGUCUGAAUUGAAUUAACUGAGCUGAAUAGAUGAAAUCAAUUUAAAAAUGUUCUUUCAUUAAGCACCUCCUAUCAAUAACCUUAUGGUUCACAUGUUAUGGCGCAACACUUUAAUGGAUCAUUUAUUUCAUAUGGAUUUAUCCAAUAUUGGACGCGGUUAGGGUUUUAUGAGUAAAUACGGACAUCAAGCAGCGCCACACGGUCCAUUAUCUAAAUGGUUUAAUUGAUGUGAGCGUACGACUGGCUGAGUUCCACCCAGUAACCCCUCAGUGCCUGGCAGGGGAGAAACACAUUGUCAUCCAGGCACUCGACUCGGAUCUUCCUCUGAGGUUUCAUCGUCCUCCAUAUGAAGGAGAGAGAGAGAGCGACUGAGGACUUUAAAGCAAAGGCACUGUUCUCUGUUUGCCACCAGCAGCAGUCUGCAUCUCCCGGCACCCAGAGACAGCAUUAAGGUGGACUCCUUCCUUUGUGUUUCACACACAGUGAUGGCUGCCAGGACUCACAGCCACUGAUUGGCAAAGAGGGAGGAACCUUUUCAUGUGUGUGUGUGUGUGUGUGUGUGUGUGGGAGGGGGGGAGGGAGGGGGGGCUCCCUUUUGACUUGACUCUGGUGGGAGAUGCUGCGACUGAGCUGCCUACAAAGCUGAGGGUGGAGAAAAGAAGAAGAAGAAGAAGAAGGAAAAAACACAGAAAAACAAAAGGGACAAAAGUAAACCGUUUGACUCCGGGGGACAAACUGGGAUACCAGGUGUUAAAUAAUCUUCUCAUAACCUGCUUAGCUUUCUCAAAAUAACCCAAUUUGGACGGUGCUAUAUGGCACCAGGAAAUCAGCCUCCCCCUGGGCUCUGCAGGCAAAUUAGUGGGACACUUGUACCCGCAUGGCAAUGCUAACAGGGAUGCUGCUCAGCAUUCACAGCGAGGGGAACACAUUAAACAAGGUUACAUUUGUGACUUUGGUACCAACACCAGAUUCCACACACUGACACAGCUUCCUUCAUAACAAGGGACAUUUUCUUAACUGCCCUUUUGUUCUAAUAUAUAUAUAUAUACACACAAAUUAUUCUCAUUAUCAAUCGCUUUGGGGAAGAUUCAAAUUCUAUGCACGCACAUGCUACAAAUUAGGCUCACAAUGUUACCAUUCCGUGCAUGUGAUGAUUAGCAGCAAUCAUGAAUGUUUGUGGUACGGCCUGAAAAUAAAAUCUUGUUCCAUCUGUUUUUGUUUCCUCUUGAAAACAGACAAAGCAUAUGAAAUAUAAAAAAUAGAAAUAAGAGAAUGAGAUUGUCCCUGAAGAACGUGUCCUCCCUCUCGGCUGCGCGCAGUGUUUGAGAUGCUGGGGAGGCUUUUUUCUCUCAGACUUCAGACAAGCGUUACAGCGGACAGUGUUUGCUUCACGUUGCCGAGGAGACGGUGCCUUUUUCGAGGAAAGAAUUCCACAGUUUGAUUAUCAUGCUGCCAUGUUGAAUUGUCUUCCAGUGUCUUAAGCCGUCUGAACAGAACUGGCACGUAAACAAGCUACUCGGCCGAAGGGACGCGGAGGUGAAAACACAGUGAUGUUGUUGACAUGUUUCAUUUUUAACCAUGAAUUCCAGUAAAUAGAUAAAAAUCGAUUUAUUUAUUGUUACCAUGUAAACAAUUGCGUAAAAAGCCUUGAGGACGUCUUCUACAAGCACUGGGAUCAAAAUACAGACGUUUUUCCUGUACGGACACGUAACAGGGACCUAUAGUUAGGGUAGGUAUGACAUGGUAUGGUAGUUAUGAUACAGUAUGGUAGUUAUGACAUGAUAUGGUAGUUAUGAUACAGUAUGGUAGUUACGGUAGUUAUGAUAAGGUAGUUAUGAUCUGUAUGAUAGUUAUGGUAGUUAUGAUAUGGUAGUUAUGAUACAGUAUUUGUUAUGGAAGUUAUGAUAUGGUAGUUAUGAUAGGGUAUGAUAGUUAUGGUAGUUAUGAUACAAUAUGGUAGUUAUGGACACAUUAUGGUAGUUAUGAUAUGGUAUGGUAGUUAUGAUACAGUAUUGUAGUUAUGGCAGUUAGUUAUUAUAUGUUAUGAUACGGUAUGCUAGUUAUGGUAGUUAUGAUACAGUAUAGUAGUUAUUAUACGGUAUGGUAGUUAUGAUAUGUAUGGUAGUUGUGGUAGUUAUGAUACGGCAUGGUAGUUGUGGUAGUUAUGAUACGGCAUGGUAGUUGUGGUAGUUAUGAUACGGCAUGGUAGUUGUGGUAGUUACAGUAUGAUACGGUAUGGUAGUUGUGGUAGUUACAGUAUGAUACGGUAUGGUAGUUGUGGUAGUUACAGCAUGAUACGGCAUGGUAGUUGUGGUAGUUAUGAUACGUUAUGGUAGUUGUGGUAGUUACAGCAUGAUACGGCAUGGUAGUUGUGGUAGUUACAGCAUGAUACGGCAUGGUAGUUGUGGUAGUUAUGAUACGGUACGGUAGUUGUGGUAGUUAUGAUACGGCAUGGCAGUUGUGGUAGUUAUGAUACGGCAUGGUAGUUGUGGUAGUUAUGAUACGGCAUGGUAGUUGUGGUAGUUAUGAUACGGCAUGGUAGUUGUGGCAGGUCCUGCCUGCUUUAUGGGGACAUUAAUAUUGCAGCUCAUAUGUUUUGCUGCAGGUGAGCAGGGAGGUGAAGAGGCACUGACCCACUUCAAUAAUGAGGUACAAUGAGAUCCAAUCCGAAAGCCAGCGAGGGAAGUCUAUAUUUUAUUCAUAUGGAUAUUAACACUGGGGAGGGGGAGAAGACACUGAUUAAUAUCAAUAUCUUGACAAAAGGAAGUGUCUCUAAAACGGCCGGCUAAUUUGUGCUCUGCAGAAACACUUUUAUGAAAAAGACAAAAAGCUGGGUGAUUAAUUUGGGCUCGUAGGGCCAAAACCCCCCACAACCCACACACACACACACAGACACACACAUUCACACUGCUUCAUUCCUCCCCAAAAGUGGUACCGGUGUUUAGAGCUACACUAGUUGAGCACAGGGGAGGUUCAGCUGCGGAAUGCACCAGAGUUAUGAUGGCGGGAGCCCACGCACUCUGUAAGGUUCCCCCGUAGAUGCAGUUAAUGGAUGCACACAAUGAGCCUCAAUGGCCCUGCGAUGAUGGAUGUGGGCCACUGUGUGAAAGGCUCCACAGACAAACCAGCCAGGACAACUUAGAAAAGUGGUAGGAGAGCAAGAGGAGGGGAGCGUACACUGCAGAAAUGUUGCCAGGGAACAUUUGGAGAAAUAUAAUUGCGGUGCAGUAUUCCUGAGCGGGGUUUUAAUUGCGCAGAGAGGGAAACAGAUUGGCUGAGAAUCUUGCUGAGGAACCCAGAAGUGUCUGAGCUGGAAAUGAGCUUGAAUGCAUGUGUGUCACAUAAUGGUGUGGGACAAUGAAUAGAUUUAAUUUCACUUUUUUUCUGGCCAAAACAGUCUCAAUUAACAAUAUUAUCUAGACAAUACAUUAUUUAUUUAAAAAAAAGUCAAAUAAUUUACAUUUCGUUAAAAAACGAAUACUUAAAUUCAUCAGAGAGAAGUUAAUAAAGAGUCUCUAAUACAUGAUCAUAAAUCAUAAGGUCAUAAGGAUGAAGUAGAUUUUUAAAUAAUUAUUCCUUUAAUUAUAAAAACAGUCUAUUAUUUCCAUCCCUCUACCAUAAUAACAAAGUCACUCGUCUGACAAUAUUUAAAAUGAUUUCAUUCAAGGAAAAAAUCUUUUCUUGACCCAGAAUUAAAACCUGUAUCGUCUCUAAUAUACAAAUACAAAUUUGUACAAAAUAGACAAAAGAAUCAAGAAUAUAAAUAUAAAAUAUUAAGAUCAGACGAACAAGCAUGUUUACUAUGGACAUAGUUCUGUUGAAACAGAUAAAAGGAACAAACUAACAUUCACUGAAUAAUCCUUGAGAAGAAGACCUGAUGUUAUGUCUUGAUUUCCUGUUGUGUCUGAGUGCAUAACAAUGAGACUUGCAUUCACGCUUUCAUAUUGUUCAUGUUUUAACACUUGAGUGUGGGUGUCUUCUUUUAGCGUUGGAGCUAUAAAGGUCAUCUCAACUAGCACUCAAAUAUUCCUCUACAUACAGUGUACUGAACCAUGACCUCAACAGUUUUUAUUUCUAGUUGCUUUUUUAUUGUAAUUAAAAAAUAUGUAAAUAAGUAAUAAGUAAAUGUCACGAAUUUUUUGACUUUUAACCCCCAAAUAGUUCCUACUUAUCGGCUUAAUCCAUAAUGUACUUUGUUUUACUUUGUUUUCUCAUAAAUUUAAACCAUGUUUUGAGUUUCUCAACGGACUGCAAGAGCACCAAAGUCCCAUUUGGCCGUUGACCUUCACAAAACCACACAGUCACGCCCUAAUUGGCGCCGGUGCAAAACUCACCAGCCAAACCUGCUCCGCGCCUCGUGGAACAAUCAGAAGAGCCCCGGCCUGCUGCAGUAACAGCGAAUACGGCCAACGCCGUACCGCGGUAGUGAGCAUUAUCUACGGCGCCACUUGGCCGACUGCGUCUCGCCCACAGCGAAUCACCCCAUUACGGUUUUCUUUUUCCUCCUUAUACUUGGCCUGCCCCCAUCAGCACCUCGUCCCGAGGGGCAGCCAUUAGGCCCAAAGCAGGAGCCUCCACUCAGGGUCUGAUGGAUGUGCCUGGUGGGUGCGCUCGUCGCAUUGGGGGGGCGGGGGUGCGGACCCUACACCGACGGAGGUGAUUAUGCACAGUGGGCCCAUUGUGAACGUUCUGCAGUGGGAGGGCGCAGGCUGCUGCAUUGCCGGUGUGAUUGCGGUGCGUCGGAGAUGACCGGGGGGGGGGCUCUCGCCCUCUGACCUCUGCUCCGAUGUUUACCGCUUCCUGUCGUCACACACCAGGUAACAGCAGAAGUGUGGGGGGGGCAUAAAAGGGCGGCCGAUCGGUUUCCUCCGCGGUCGCAGCCAUCCCGAAGCCAUCGCUUGACACCGUGGUCCGCUAGUUAUGAUGAAUGGUAUGAAGCCGCACCCCACAUUCCGUCUGCUGAACUGCAGUGUCAGAGGAACUUUGUGUUUCGCUGCAGUGGCCUCGUCCUGCCCUUCUCCCGUAUCGUGUUCUGUUCCAAUGAGCAGCUCCGCUCGGGCCUGUCACUACUCCCCUUUCUUUCCCAGACCGGAGCCUGGUCACAUGGAGGAAAAGGGGGAGGGAGGAUUCAACAAUGGGCUCCAUAUAACCAAGAAAACUAGUAUUUACUGCAAGCGAUGCUCAAAAAGUGCGAUUCAAGACAGAAUGAAUGUGCCAGUUGGACGGCGGCUAAUCACACAUUUGUCAAAAGGGGCUUUUUUUCGCGCCGUGAAUCUGUUUUGGCUCCGGCUCGUGACGCCUGUCAAGGCGCUGAACACGUGUUGUGUCUCGAGCGCCCCGCCGAACGUUACAUAAACACAGAUAAAUAGGGCGUAGCAGGAACAGCAUACAGCGAUGCUUCCCCGGGGAUUGUCAUUUAUCGUUGGUUGUUUUUGAUUGUUUAAAGCGCGAGCAUGUGAGGCAUGUGUCUCAUAUUCUCUUAUCUGCUCGGCAUUCGUUGCAUUUGGAGAUGACAGGCUAAACAAACACCGCAUUCGCCUUUUCCAAAUCAUAACUGGUCCCACAUGGCCCCGCAAUGAUAAGUGGGUGUUUUCUAAUCGGGUUAAGUAAACCCGGGCAGCGAUCCGCUCCCUCCUGGAGGCGUUCUCCUUCUCCGUGUCAUCGCGCCGGACCUCUCUAAGCCCAGUUCACGGUCUCACUCGUCUGAGACGAAUACCAAAGCUCGGUGCAUCCGAUAAUGAAACAGCAGUGACGGGAGAAGAAGGUCACAUUGACUCCACGGCUAAUCUCCAUCCUCUCCAGUCAAGCACACACGGUGACAGACAAAUGAGCUGCUCUCAGAUGCAUUAACACCACAAACAAAUCCGCCAUUCUGCAUCCAGUUGCAAUGCCCAGGCGACGGCGUCUCCCCUUGGCGUCCCGCAGGGCGAUCUCUCCGUCAGCCGCGUGACGCGGGGCCUGAUGAUGACUCUAUCACAGGUGACAGUGACAAGCAGGUCCCUCAUCACACCUCAUGUACAAGUGAUGUCAGAACAGCUGCGCGCUUCAAAAGAAAAGCCCGCGUGUCCUCAUUUGUUGCUUUCCGCCACUUCAUCAUCCGGACACAAUGACACCAGGUAGCCGAGGCGGAUACUGUGAAAGUCACUAAAGAGGAGGCAUUGUUUCAUUUGAGAUGAAAAUAUAUUAUCUCCUCGUCUUAAGGGGCCGAGAGAAGCCACCUGCCAGAACCCCCCCCAAAAAAACAAUCUUUAAAUAUAAAUAAAGCUAAAGCUUACAGAUCACCACGCGAAAAAGAAAAGCAUCACAUCACACACAAUCAUUAAAAAACACAAACAGCAUGUGUUUAUUGAGGAUCCACCUUCAGCAGCAGGCUAACACAGAAGCGCUAAGACGCGUGGCUAUGAUUGGCCGGGCUGCGUCGGAGAGGGCGGGACUUGGCAAAUGGUCAACUGGUAAUGUAACAGCAACACCUGAAGCUGAAGUGCAGGUCCACACACGUGUCGGCCAUACGUGAGCAUGGCUUUGAUAUUGUGCUGUUAUACCAGCAGGACGAUUUCCCUUCUUUCAUCUGCAGCUCAGUUGUUACAACUAGAUGGCACAAUAUAUGGCUGCUCAUAUUUAAAACGUUUGUCAUUUGCCCCAAAAUAAUAGUGUUUGUGUGUGUGUGUGUGUGUGUGUGUGCGCGUGUAGCAGGAAGGAUCUGGCACCGAGCACACGGCUGCUAUAACCGUCCCACUCUCACAGUUUGGAAGGUGCCAGAGAAGUCAAAGUGAUUCCAACACGCCAUGUGUUCCAAUUCUUCUCAAUUUAGUUAAAAGCGAAAGGGGUAAAAACGUGCGGACUGCACAUUAUCCUGUUGGUGUGUCUUUGCUCCACCCGGGACUUGUUCGGGUGGGGAAGCGUGUGCUCCACCCUCAGCUGAUCGUUCUGACGAUCCAGCCGGCGGCGUCUCUGCCGUGUGGCGUUGACCUCAUGCUUCUAGUUCCUGCAGAGACCCCCAGUAGGGACACACAUUCGUUCGCUUCACUUCUGUGGAGGCUAAAAGUUAUUCCUUUUAUUGGGUUGUUUUUUUUGCACCAGAGACCCUCAGCUUUCCCCUAUAAGACGUGCAUUCCUUGUUAGAUGUCCGUGUGACACAGAAGGUGGAGGACGUGUGCUCAGGUCUGUUAGGACGUAUCACAUUAGCAUUCCUAACUACUGCCAUCGCUUCAAUCAGCAGAGACAAGACGGAGAAAGACAGAUAAUUGUUCGUGAUUAAUAAAUGAUACGAUGAAGACAAAGUCUUCUUGGUCUCAGACUCUACAGGGAGGUUUGUAAUCGGUCUGCCCUGAGCAGCAGGAUGAAUCCCCCCCCCCCCCCCGUGGAGUCCGAACACUGGUGGAGCUGAAUGAUGAGCUGAUGAAGCUCGGGCGGAGAUGUGGAGGUGAAGUGACAGCAGCAAGGUGACAGGCUGGGGUCCCCCUGCCCCCCCACACACACACUAUAUUCAGCGGCAGAUCGCCGUGGUUAUUUUAAGCCAAAGGACCCAAACUUAUUCUUAAUAGGAUUUUGUUUUAUUGGGAAGAAGUUCUUUAUGAAAAAGAGUGGAAAUUGUCACGUGUCGCGGAAAAAUGAGGAUGUCACAUGAACCGUUAAGAAGAUACGUUGAAUACUCACAUGAUCAUGUAGGUUUCUGAUAAGAUGUAACCUUCUACAACCAGCCUUUUGUUUGUUACGGCAAUGAGAGAUACCAAGUCCCACUACCGUCCUGUGCGGGUUGUGGACGGAUGUCUCCUCCGAGGCGGCGUGGAACCGCUGAUGUGCUUUAAGGCUCACUAAUUAACACAUUAGCCUGCGAGCAUUCUAAUCUGAUGAGUGUGAAAUGUUCCUGGUUUCCCAGGAGGUUCUUUGCUCUAGAAUAAGUUUGCCCGGCGCAUUUUGUACGUACAAAGUCCCCUCAAACAGAGCUGUGCGCUCUCCAGUCGUACUGCUGAGCUUGAGUGACGGAC